Molecule: RNA transcript, 8821 nt
Organism: Polyodon spathula (Mississippi paddlefish)
Lineage: Eukaryota; Metazoa; Chordata; Actinopteri; Acipenseriformes; Polyodontidae
Exons: 7
Source: RefSeq, a predicted model, not a curated record
UAGUAUUUUUAAUUGUUGUAUUUAGUGUUUGAUAUUAUAGUUUAAUUGUUGCUUGUUUUGUAAAGUGUUUUGGGAUGGUUUGGCAUGACAGGCACUAUAUAAAAAUAAAUUGAUUACUAUAUAAUAUUUAACCUGCCAUUUAUUUUUGGUCUUGAAUGCAUUUGUCUUUGGAUGAUUCUAAUAACUGCUAGAAAUUUAAGUUUUAUGAAAAAAGUGCUAUUUUGUAGUAAAAAAAAAUAAUAAUUUGAGAGUCUGUCUCAAUGUGUGUAAUAUUAUGCACUGCUAGAAAUUAAACCUGUGAAGGUCAUAGGAGCUACGUAAAGGUUAUUUAACAUGGGCUGUGCUAUGCCAGUGUUUCAUUUUGUUUAACCUGUGGGAGGUAUGAUAUGCCACAUUUUGAAUCCCCCAACCUCUCAUCAGUUAGUUCCAGGUUGUACACCAUUAUGGAAGUAGACCCUUCUUUCACACGACCUCGUCGGCCCUGCAGACCAGAACCAGUUUAUCAUGCAAGGAGUUCAGCCUUGAACAGCUGUCCCCAAUGUACUUAAAGUAAGUUGAUGUGCACAGCAACAGUGGCAUUUAGAGUAUGUUUGGGAUGUUUAGAAUUAAUUUGAUUAUUGUGUUAUUGAAAAGAAAAUACCAUAGGACAUUUUCUUUCCUUUAGUGUAAGGAUAUAAUGAUCCAAACAAUGUUUUACAUUAACAAUGAAAAAGGUUGUUGACUCAAUACAGCUUGGGCACUUUUCUUUACAAUAACAGGUAAUUAUGCACUGCUAGGGGUAUAGAGGCUUUGCAGUAACGUUGUGAUGGUCUAACAUUGCUGUGAAGCUGUCAAAACUACCAUACAAGCUCAGUACGAAUUUAAAGAAAAAUUCAGUAAAAGGAAAGUUCAGUACAAGUACGAUACAAUUAUACGAACCGAACAUACCAGACACCUCAGGGAACUGGAAUUCGACAUGUAUAAAAAUAAAAUGGCAGUUAUCAGAGCGUGUGAUCCUUAGACAGUGCAUCAGGUGUUUACACUGCUGAAAAGUGCCAUAAAACUACCAAGUGUACUUGGUUGAAACUCCAUCACCCUACACAGGCGAGUACAUGAAGGCAUUUAAAAGUACAGACAGCUACAAGUACUUCAGAGCUAGCUGGGUGCAUGAUCCCACGGUGUGGCACCUACAUGCCAUGAAGAUAUUUUUAAUUACUGCCAGGUCAAGUGUUGUAAUAUUAUAAAUAUAUAUUUAUGUAUGCAUUGUGCACAACUGUCGAGUUACAAAGACUCUAGCACAUUUAUUGGUAGAAAUGUUAGUUGCUUGAAAACAUAUAAAGUCAGUAUACUGUAAAGUACAAAGUACAACGGAGUACAAAGACUGGCCAGCAAAAUGUACUGAUGAAACAAACAUCUGUUGUACAAUUUUACAGUGUGUCUUCAUAGUAAAGUGUGAUGAAGCUGAUGCUGUUUGGAAGCACUCUGCUGUAUUUUUUUUAAUGCAUUUUAAAGCUGUUAACCCUAUUCAGCAUUGCUCAACAUGAUAUUUGACAUACGCUUGAUUUAUUAGAUAUAUCAAUACCAUUGCCUACAUUAUUGUCAAUGAACAAACUUUUUGUUCAGUUUUUUUUUUUUUUUUUUUUUUUUUCACACAGUAGGAUAAUCGCAAUUUACCUGACGCGAAGUGCUCGCUACACAGUCGUGUGUGCUGAGUUGGUGUCAAAUCUUUUCUUCUUGCCGAUGACCACUUCUUACGACAUUCAUCUUCGACAGGAAUUCGAUGUUUCCUGAUGCUGGUAAAGAAAUCAUGGAGAGUAGAGUCUGGCAUGGAGAGAAACAUCACGCUGCUCUCCUGGGUCAGAUGCUUGCAGAACCUCAAGUCCAGAAGUCCAGUUUGCAGUGCCAUCCUGCUACAGAUGUCUUCCAGAUGAUGGGUGUUGAGCCAGACCCUUCAGUAAAUGUAACUGUAGAAAGACUUGUCUAUAAACACUUAAACCCAGAUGAGCCAAGCCUCUUGGAGAUGCUGAACACAGAUGCACAUAGUGCAGCAGAACUCCCACCAGCUAAAGCAGAAACAUUUUCUACCCUCACCUUGAUCCAAUUAGGCAAUAUUUUGACAAAUUCCAGCAUGGACGCAGAAUACCGUAGACGCUGUGCCACACCUCCUGAAAAUAAACUCAAAUCCAUUCUUAAAGACUUAAAAAAUAAAAAUGAGACCAAUGUUCAAAAUAAUAUUCAGAAAGCACAACAUACAGCUGCUGACGUCCCUGCAAGUAAGACUUCUCAGGUCAGAAGCAGUACCAGCAGUGAGAUUUACAAAAACCAAACAAGUGCUGGAAGGAAUAGGAGGUCUUCCAGUGCAGCCUAAAAAUGUCUCAUUAUCGGCAGGUCUGAAAAAGACAUAAAAGGCCCCUGCAACAAGGGCACAGAAUGGAGACCACAGCAGGAGGAUUUGGAUCCGCUCGCCAACUUCAUAAUGCUGAGAUCCAAGCUGACAAAUGCAGUUGCUGCUCCUCCCAAAGCCAAAAGCAAGAAUGAGAGUCAAACCAAAGCCCAUUAACUUUUUACACACAGGAGCUCUAUAAAGAUUGAUGAGGAGCUACUGGCCUCUGGAGGACAAAUGCCAGCCCUGCAGAUGUCCGUAUGAGCUCAUUGGGCACCUGGCCAGUAGGGGCUGCUGUAGCCUGUUGAGAAACAGUCCCUGACGAUUUUGCCUCCCUAACCCCCACAGCCAGUGUCAAUGCUAAUGUGCUGAUCCCUGUGGAAUCCCAAGUGAAGAUCAGCAACUUCACACAACCAAGAACAUGUAUUUGUGAUCCUUUCACUGUAUGACUCACCCUGCACACCACACAUGCUUUUACCGGGUGAGCCACUUAAGGAUUACACAGUGCUAUUUUUUAUUAGGAAAAUAAAGCAUUGUCACUUAUCUUUUAUCAACCACACACACUUCUUCAGUUUUUAUCAACACCUACGUCUUGGAACAUCUUACACGGUGUAUACUUUAUAGUCCAUCAUACUAGGAUCCAUUAUAAGUGGAAUGCACCUAGAGUAUGUCAUGAACCAAUUUCAAAAUGUGUCAGCUUUGAAAAAAUAAGCUGUAAAAUGUGAUUUUCUUUUAAAGAUACAAAGGUAGAAGAUAUGUUUGCCUGUGCAACCCCCAAAGAAGUAGGCUCUGCUGCCAGGCCUGUGAUACCAGAGAAAACCAAGACAGAAACGAGGAACACUGCUGUGAUUGAGGUCCAAGCAUCAGAGAGCCAAUACAGAGCCUACUGUCUACUUCAAGAUAUUGUAUCCCCUGUUCUCUUUAGUUCAAAAGAACUGGGCAUAUCUGCUGCUGUCUUGGGGGACUUUGCUACUCUGACUUUUGACCAAACUCGGUUCUUGUUGAAACGGCAGGAAAAAGUGGUGCCACCACUUUUGUUCACUCACUAGUGAUAUUUUGUUAUAGUUACUUAAUCAAGGUUUCAAGGUUUACAUGCAUGUAGACAGCAAAUACUUGAUGGAACAGUGAACUGUGGUUUCUGUGUAAAUUAUCAGCUCAACUAUGUACAGUAUCUUCAGUGUUGUCUACAUUGUAUUUUGUAUCAAUGUCUUGAGAUUAUGGAAUAUAGAAAGCUCUUUCUAAGACAGCUAUUUUAGUUUUUUGAAAAACUAUAAUAAAAUAAUUAAUUACCAGCAAUAUGAGCAGUCAGGCUCCCGCUAAACUGAUCUUAAUUGCUCUUAACUGAUCAGACUUUUACUAGGUUAUCCAACUAGGAAUCAGUCUCAUCUGACUAGGUUGAUUUACCUGUUGAAAGAGAUCUUGACAACCAUUAAGGGAAAGCCGUUCACCUUGAUGCUCACUUUGCUGGCACAUGAUUAUUUUAUUAUACUAUUCCAGGUACAUCCAUAUGUGAUGUAAAACAAAAUAUUUGAUGCAGAAUGACCCCUCUGUUUAUGUAUAACAAUGAUGAUAAUAAAAAAAUUGGUCUUGCAGGUAAACCAAGUGAAAAAGACGUAACGAUGUAUAAGCACGCCACUGUGGUGCAUCUUUUGGUGACAGUUCGAGACCUGUUGCUUAUGUGUGACCUUAACACAGCUGUAGACUAUCUGGCAAGAGCCAAAGAAAUGUAUGUCAGCACACUGGGGUCUUGUUUGGAUGACCUCUGGAAAAGACUGAGGGUCGUGCAGUACAUCAGCCAGAAGAAUGAGGAAGCCAACCCUAAAAUAGCAGAGCUCCAGCGGAAGAUGUUGGCAUGGAUACAAAGAAACCAUUCUCGGGAGCAGAGUCAUAAAGUAGGUCUCUAAACCCAGCUUCUAUUCUCUGAAGGCUGGAAAUCUUUUGAACAUUAGGAAUCAUGAAGAUAAAAGCAGGUGAGCAAGGAUGAGUUAAAAUUGUAGACAAAGCCUAUACUAGCAUUGUCUCAUUUUUCCCCCUAAACUAUGUCACCUUUACAACAGAAACCAUAGUUUGGCAGCAGACAGUACAAAAGUAUAAAGGCAACCAGUUUAUUACAGGAGUCAUGUUUCACACUACACUAAAAUAUGUGUGUGUGCUGUAGUUUAGUCUUCCAUGCACUGUAAUUUGUUAAAGAACAGACCUUGUUGACAGACUAACAGUUGUGCACUAUAGAUUACAUAUUCCUUUUGCACACUAACUCAAAAUUGAGGGUUUCCAGACUUAUACUAUAGGUAUAGUACAUUCACAACUUUGUGAAUGUACUAUACCUAUAGUUUUGCAUCAAGCUAACUGCCGAGUAAACCUCCCAAGUGUUGGUAUUUUUAAAGCACGACUAAAAAACCUUAAUGGAAUGUUACUCUAGUAAUGCUUUUGUAUAGAUCACAUGAUUUAUUUAUCAUCUUUCACAAUGGUGUCAUAAAAUUCUCAGUGUGCAUAUUGAUGGAAUUGUCCUUAAUAAGGAUGCAUGUUCCUUCCUCCAUUCUGGUCAUAACACUGUCGGUCAUGAAGAUUUCCAGCCCAGGCUUGCUUUCUUAGAAGGCAACUCUCAGCAAUGCCAAGUGCACAACCUAUUUAUCAUAUGAUCGGGGUCCUUUAGGUGGGACUGAAGACACAGAAUGAAGAGCCCAAAUGCAUCAGCAGAGAGGUAGAUUAUAUAUAGACAAGGCUUCAUUUAUAACACAACCAAUCGGUGCUGCUUCUGUGGGGGCUAGGUGGGGACUAUGAAUCAAUAGAAAAUAAUUCCGUUGAUCUUUGGCCUCUAAAGGAGGAAUUGUAUGACGAGCAGUUUGCAAGCACAAGGCCUGGUGGGAGCCAUACAGAACGGACUUCAAGUGGACAGGCACAGGCUCAGGUCUCUGCCCUGUACUACAGCAAAUCAGCUGGACAAACAAAUAGAGAGCUACUUUGAGAGGAGGCCCCAACAUUCCCAGGUUUACUCUGCCCAACAGACAGCCAUUUCCUCCCUGUCAAUGGAAGAGCCUUCCUUUCCCAGUGAUUAUGCUGGUCCUGAAUCCAACAGCAUGCCAUUGUGUGUGCCAAACCAGCCAGCAGAUCGUCUGUGUGUUGACAGCCAUCCAUUUGCUCGUGCUACUAGAUCAACAGCCAACUCUGCGUUUGCUUACCAGAAAUCUGAAUAUAGGAGUGAUGUCAGCAAGCAACUAGAGAAUUUCUCUAAAAGAAAACUACAUGGAAACCCACACCACCCGAACAGUACUACCAAAAUAGCGUGAGAAAAAUGGGAGGCUUAUUUUUAUUUUUGAAUGAAAACUAAGUAUUGGACAGAGCAACAACAAUUAUUAUCUUUUUUUUUGUAAGAAACACAGAACUUUAUUUAAUAAAACAAGACACAAAUACUCUACCAUAGCAGUCUGUUUACUCCAUUAAGGACUGACAUUAUUGAGUUACGAAGCAUUUCCUAUUGAUCUGUUGCACCAACAUUAGCCUUCCUUCUCACAUUCAUGCAGCUGUUGUGUUUACAUUGCAUUGUAAACUCCAGGAAGCUUGUCUGUGCUGUUUUGAAGGGUUUAUUUUAAGGACAGCAAAAACUUAAAUUAAAGUGAGAGACCAGUCCUUGAAUAAUCCACAACACAAGGCAGCUAUGAGAUAGUCACAUAAAACAGGCAAUUCCUUUUUCUUUUUGCAACAGUUGAUUGAGUAGGAAAAACUGGCAGUGAUUUUGCAAGCACCAUUCUGGAGAUACAGUAAAGAGACAUGGGCCAAAUCAAUUACAUGUAACUUGCAUGGAAAAAGCAUUUUAGGAAAACAUAAAACCAAUACAUAGCUUGGUACAAAAGAAUUGAUGCAAGUGGCAGGUGUUUUUUUUUUUCCUUUUCAUUGUCCCUACAGUGGUCUUGAACUUUUCACUUGUCUAUAUAGAUUUCCAACCUUAUCAGUAUGUUGUCCACUUAGUUCUUGUUCAUUAGAAUCCACUGUGAAUAACUGUACUUGCCAUCUGUAACCACUGCCAAAAUCAAAAGACAGCUGGAGACUCAAGUCAUUUCCAUACAAAAAGUUUUUGGAGACAACAGGCCACCAGUUCUCAGAAUAGACCGUUUGAUUACUGCAAGUUUCCAACUGUCCCUAUCUUGACACUGUGGGCUCUAUUCACAAAGCUUUAAGACAUAAAAAAUGUAUUUAUGAAACUUGUUAAUUAAACCGUCAAUAGCCCGGAACACUUUCAGGAAUACUAAAUAUUAUUUUAUUCAUUAAAACUUUAACCACUCAUAAGUUAAAGCUUUGUGAAUAGAGCCCUAUAUUUAGAUACCAGGUAAGUGGCAAAGUACAAAAGUAGCUUGCAAUGCUGCAUUGUGUGAGAGAAUUUAAAACUUUCAUGAAUUUAAACAAAAUUCAAGGUUAAAAAAAAAGCAUUGCAAGACCAAAUAAAUAAGCUGAAUAAUUUAUUUGUUUUCUGAUUCUAUUCCAAUCAAACUAGAAAGCCAUUAAUGACUGCUUCUUGGAAAUAAGACCAGCUUAGAUAAUGAAAUUCAAGACGGAAGUAUAGAGGAACAUUUUAUUAAAUUAGAGUGAAUGAAAACAGAAAAAAAAAAAAAAAAAACAUUUUGUUAACAGAAUGUGGAUUUCGCUUACACUCCAGAGCACUCGGGUCAACACCCACCCAGAGUCUAAGGGAUUGUUGGGUCAGUGUUACUUCAACCAUGGUCUUGUUAAUUUCCAGUCACAUUAAAGCACAGACUCAAGUAUCAAUUGGAAUAAGAAGUGCAGCUUGGGGGUGGGGAGGAGGAGGAGGCUUGUAAAAAUGACAGCAUGCAAGUUUAAACACAAAUGAUCUGGACAGAAAGGUCUUUUCACACCAAAGAAGUCAAUCAAUCUGAAGCACUGUCCUUAACAAAGUACUGAAUACAUUUUGUGUAUCUUUCAGCACUAAGUACUAUGACAGCAGUACUGUUUCAUGAUAACUAAUAAAGUGCUAUAUAUUUUGGGAAUAUCUUUUAAUAUUCUGUAUACAUUAUACAUUUCAUUGGUUGUUUCGAAUGGUGUUAUAUUUGCUGCACUUUCUUUACUCAAGCUGUGCCUGUUUAGUAUAACAAGCUCAAAUAUAAUUUCAUAUAACUUCCUUAGUAAGCAUUUUAAUUUCCACAACAGUUAUGGUAAGGAAGGUUAAAUGAUAUUCAAUGAGCUAUGGACUACUCAGAAAAAAUCUUUAUUACAGUGCUGUCCAAGUUUAUCAGAAAUGUUACAUGCAUUUUUUUAUUUCAAAGUUCUGUCUAAAGUAAUUUUAGCUGACAAAAUAAUUCCUUACAUUUUCUCUACCAUGCACAUUCAUUCAUUAAGUAGGUUUCAAAUGAGCAGUUUUAAAAGACACACGUGUCAGCAAACUUGUAUUUUCAUUUUAAAAACAUGAUAUCUGAUACAACUGUAGAUUAUCUAGAUCUAAAUCUGUGUUUACAAGCCAUGCUUUCUGUUAUUUCUCCUGUAAAGUGAAAUUGCCCUUGUCAUUCAGUGGCAUAUUUCCUGUUGGUAACUAAUCAGCUGACAUACUUUCAGCCAGUAACAUGCUGUGCAGGUGGUAAUGAAGGAAUUCAGCAGAGAUACAAUGCCUGGAAGAUGAGGCAAGCAAACUGGGAAUAUUCUUUAUUCUAGUGUAGCACCAGACCUGUUUUAAAACUCCACAUUUGAGACUUUUUGAGGCUGUAUGUAGGCCUAGUUAAUGAAAGUGCAAAAUUUAUAUGAUUGAUGACAUUAUUUUGUUAUCUACAAAAUUGAUAUGAUUGAUGACAUUAUUUUGUUAUCUACAAUUAAAAUAUGAAAAGAAAACUUUGAAUUGCAAAAGAAUCACACACAAAAACAAAUCAAAUGGCUUCAGUGCAUACAGAGGCUAUCUCAUAGGCAAUGCUGUGUUUUUUUCUUUUACUGUUUAUUUGAAUUUAAAUUAGAUUAUAUAUCUUCCAUAAACACAUCUCGCUGUGUAGAGAGACUAAAUGGUCUGCCACUUUCCCACUCUUAGUAAACAUGUCCACUGAAGUGUCCAGGUCUUACGCCAGUCAAUCACAGGCUGCUGGGCUGGUUAAGCGUGUAUUUGUGCUGACCGUAUUUCAGCUCAGUCCUCUGCCAAGCUACGCCCACCACAAUUUCCGUAUCAAGGAUUCGGAGAGCGGCAGUUAUGUUCUGAAGAUAUUCAACUCGGGACAGCCGCAAUGCAAAGAUGGUGGAGACCUAAACUAGAAACAUGGUCCUAAAGAUAAAGAGGCUGCCCACCCCCACAGCACUGCUGACCAGAGAUUGGAAACUCACAUCUCUGGAGUCUGUCGGUACAAUUUGCCAUUAGUUUAUGACCACAUGUGUUGUAGACUGGAGGUUCUGGUGUAUUCACUGGAGCAGGUGACCGAUUUUGAGGCAUUGCAGUGCAGCUCUGUGUAGUCAUGAACGUUACAACUCGAAUAG